AUUGAACGCUGGCGGCAGGCUUAACACAUGCAAGUCGAGCGGGGAAGAGUAGCUUGCUACUUUACCUAGCGGCGGACGGGUGAGUAAUGCUUAGGAAUCUGCCUAUUAGUGGGGGACAACAUCUCGAAAGGGAUGCUAAUACCGCAUACGUCCUACGGGAGAAAGCAGGGGACCUUCGGGCCUUGCGCUAAUAGAUGAGCCUAAGUCGGAUUAGCUAGUUGGUGGGGUAAAGGCCUACCAAGGCGACGAUCUGUAGCGGGUCUGAGAGGAUGAUCCGCCACACUGGGACUGAGACACGGCCCAGACUCCUACGGGAGGCAGCAGUGGGGAAUAUUGGACAAUGGGGGGAACCCUGAUCCAGCCAUGCCGCGUGUGUGAAGAAGGCCUUUUGGUUGUAAAGCACUUUAAGCGAGGAGGAGGCUACCGAGAUUAAUACUCUUGGAUAGUGGACGUUACUCGCAGAAUAAGCACCGGCUAACUCCGUG
This 485-nucleotide ribosomal RNA is filed under the name uncultured bacterium. RNAcentral describes it as "bacterial SSU rRNA". It matches the Rfam family "Bacterial small subunit ribosomal RNA", at positions 30 to 507 of the family's 1533-position model. The record is from RNAcentral.